This 486-nucleotide ribosomal RNA is filed under the name uncultured Acidobacteriota bacterium. RNAcentral's name for it is "bacterial SSU rRNA". It matches the Rfam family "Bacterial small subunit ribosomal RNA", at positions 224 to 704 of the family's 1533-position model. Lineage: Bacteria; Pseudomonadati; Acidobacteriota. The record is from RNAcentral.
GAGGAGCCUGCGGCGGAUUAGCUAGUUGGUGAGGUAAUGGCCCACCAAGGCGACAAUCCGUAGCCGGCCUGAGAGGGCGGUCGGCCACACUGACACUGACACACGGGUCAGACUCCUACGGGAGGCAGCAGUCGGGAAUUUUGGGCAAUGGGCGAAAGCCUGACCCAGCAACGCCGCGUGAAGGAUGAAAUCCCUCGGGAUGUAAACUUCGCAAGAACGGGAAGAAUAAGCCUGAGCGAAUAACUCAGGCGAUGACGGUACCGUUUGUAAGCUCCGGCUAACUCCGUGCCAGCAGCCGCGGUAAUACGGGGGGAGCAAGCGUUGUUCGGAUUUACUGGGCGUAAAGGGCGCGUAGGCGGCCAUCGCAAGUCAAUUGUGAAAUCUCCGGGCUUAACUCGGAACGGUCAACUGAUACUGCGGGGCUAGAGUGCGGAAGGGGCAACUGGAAUUCUCGGUGUAGCGGUGAAAUGCGUAGAUAUCGAGAGG